UGUUAGUGUGUGCUGUGUGUGUGUAUGUGCUGUGUGUGUAAGGGUGUUAGUGUGAGGGUGCUUUUAGUGUGUGUUUGUGUGUGUGUGUGCUGUAUGUUUGUGUGUAAUGUGUGGGGGUGUGGAGGCCAUUUAGUUAAUAUCCCCCCUCCCUUCUUACCUUAUGUAGGGAGGGGCGACCGUGCUCCUGCCUUCCCUGGUGGUCCAGUGGAGAGUGAACUCUAGCCUCCUGUGGGGAUAGAGUUCACUCUCGCGAGAUCUGAGCGCAACGCUCUGACCGCGUGAGAGGAACCUGGCGGAGCUGCUGACAAGAGCUCCCGGGUCCUCUCCUGCCUCCCUUCCUGCAGGUCGGUGAGGGAGAUCUUUGAUCUCCCUCACCUGCCCACGGAGGGAGGCACAUAGUGCGUGCUGUGGGGAUUAGGG
Non-coding RNA from Pelobates cultripes (western spadefoot toad), 420 nucleotides. Lineage: Eukaryota; Metazoa; Chordata; Amphibia; Anura; Pelobatidae. The record is from the annotation of a GenBank genome assembly.